This 279-nucleotide unclassified non-coding RNA is filed under the name plant metagenome. RNAcentral describes it as "partial contains small subunit ribosomal RNA, internal transcribed spacer 1, and 5.8S ribosomal RNA". The record is from RNAcentral.
UUUCCGUAGGUGAACCUGCGGAAGGAUCAUUAUUGAAUAACCAAGGUGCGAAGCCUGUCUCUGAAUAGAAAGGUCGUGCAUGCUCGGGUGUCGUCACACACAUCCAUCUCACCGCCAUGUACACGAGCGCGCGGGGCCACCUUUGUCUUGUUCGGAUGUGGGCUUACGGUUUCAUAGAAAUUUUGAAGUCAGUGUUGACAGUAUUUGUUGUCUUUGCGUUGGCGCCAUUAACUAAACCUUCAACAACGGAGCUCUCGCCUCUUGCAUCCAUGAACAACC